This 306-nucleotide ribosomal RNA is filed under the name Pseudomonas sp. R-41747. Its description in RNAcentral is "bacterial SSU rRNA". It matches the Rfam family "Bacterial small subunit ribosomal RNA", at positions 30 to 336 of the family's 1533-position model. Lineage: Bacteria; Pseudomonadati; Pseudomonadota; Gammaproteobacteria; Pseudomonadales; Pseudomonadaceae. The record is from RNAcentral.
AUUGAACGCUGGCGGCAGGCCUAACACAUGCAAGUCGAGCGGAUGACAGGAGCUUGCUCCUGAAUUCAGCGGCGGACGGGUGAGUAAUGCCUAGGAAUCUGCCUGGUAGUGGGGGACAACGUUUCGAAAGGAACGCUAAUACCGCAUACGUCCUACGGGAGAAAGCAGGGGACCUUCGGGCCUUGCGCUAUCAGAUGAGCCUAGGUCGGAUUAGCUAGUUGGUGAGGUAAUGGCUCACCAAGGCGACGAUCCGUAACUGGUCUGAGAGGAUGAUCAGUCACACUGGAACUGAGACACGGUCCAGAC